This 429-nucleotide ribosomal RNA is filed under the name Bacteroidota bacterium. RNAcentral describes it as "Bacteroidetes bacterium partial 16S ribosomal RNA". It matches the Rfam family "Bacterial small subunit ribosomal RNA", at positions 355 to 776 of the family's 1533-position model. Lineage: Bacteria; Pseudomonadati; Bacteroidota. The record is from RNAcentral.
UAGGGAAUCUUCCGCAAUGGACGCAAGUCUGACGGAGCAACGCCGCGUGAGUGAAGAAGGAUUUCGGUUCGUAAAACUCUGUUGUUAGAGAAGAACAGCGCAUAGAGUAACUGUUAUGCGUGUGACGGUAUCUAACCAGAAAGCCACGGCUAACUACGUGCCAGCAGCCGCGGUAAUACGUAGGUGGCAAGCGUUGUCCGGAUUUAUUGGGCGUAAAGCGAGCGCAGGCGGUCAAUUAAGUCUGAUGUGAAAGCCCCUGGCUCAACCGGGGAGGGUCAUUGGAAACUGGUUGACUUGAGUGCAGAAGAGGAGAGUGGAAUUCCAUGUGUAGCGGUGAAAUGCGUAGAUAUAUGGAGGAACACCAGUGGCGAAGGCGACUCUCUGGUCUGUAACUGACGCUGAGGCUCGAAAGCGUGGGUAGCAAACAGG